RNAcentral lists this ribosomal RNA (419 nucleotides) under bacterium. RNAcentral's name for it is "partial 16S ribosomal RNA". It matches the Rfam family "Bacterial small subunit ribosomal RNA", at positions 355 to 776 of the family's 1533-position model. The record is from RNAcentral.
UGGGGGAUAUUGCACAAUGGGCGAAAGCCUGAUGCAGCGACGCCGCGUGGGGGAUGAAGGCCUUCGGGUUGUAAACUUCUUUUGCUCUGAACAAGGCGCACCAUGGGGUGUGUUGAGUGUAGGGGUUGAUUAGCGCCGGCUAACUACGUGCCAGCAGCCGCGGUAAUACGUAGGGCGCGAGCGUUGUCCGGAAUGCUUGGGCGUAAAGGGCUUGUAGGUGGCUGGUUGCGUCUGUCGUGAAAGCUCAUGGCUUAACUGUGGGUUUGCGGUGGGUACGGGCUGGCUUGAGUGCAGUAGGGGAGGCUGGAAUUCCUGGUGUAGCGGUGGAAUGCGCAGGUAUCAGGAGGAAUACCGGUGGCGAAGGCGGGUCGCUGGGCUGUUACUGACACUGAGGAGCGAAAGCAUGGGGAGCGAACAGG